AAUUAAUAACUUAUUUAAAUUUUUUGUUUAUUUAAUUUUAAUAAAAAUAAUUUUAAUAAUUUUGAGUUUAAGUAUUUUUUUAAGAAAAAAUUUAUUUUAUUAUAGUUGAUUUGUAUUGUAAAAGAUUGUUGAAAAAUAUUUAUUUUAUUUAAAAGUAAAAUUAAUUUUUUGUACCUUGUGUCUCAGGGUUUAUUUAAUAUAUAUUGUAGAUUUAUAAUAUUCUCGAAUUUAAGAGAGUUAAUAAAUUAUUUUUUUUAUUGUGAAAAAAAUAUUUAUAAUAAUUUAUUAGUAAUGAAAUGUUAUUCGUUCUUUAAUAUAUCUAGUUUAUUUAGAAAUGAAUUUAAUUCAGAUAUUUAAAUUUUAAUAAUUUAAUUGUUUAAUAUAUUAAAUUUAAAUAUUAAUAAUUAAAGGGUUUAGCUUUUAAUUAAAAUUUUAGAAAUUUUUGGUAAUUGUGAAUAAAAUGUAAGUUUAGAAAUAGCUAUCAAUAGUAAUUUGUUAUAAUUAAUUUAGUGAUAUAUAUUAUUUAUCAAUAAUUUUAAAUUUUUUAUAAAUAAGUAAUUUUUAAUUUUAUAAAUUUGGUUAUAAUGAUAAAAUUAGUAUAUUGGAUUUAUUUAAAUAAUAUUUAAAUAAAAGAUUAAUUAAAGGAAUUCGGCAAAAAUUUUAUUCGCCUGUUUAACAAAAACAUGUCCUUUUGAAGUAAUUUAUUUAAGGUCUAGCCUGCCCACUGAAUUUAUUUUAAAUGGCCGCAGUAAUUUGACUGUGCAAAGGUAGCAUAAUCAUUAGUUUUUUAAUUGAAAGCUUGUAUGAAAGGUUGGACGAAAUAAAAUCUGUCUUUGAUUAAUUUAAAGUAGAAUUUAAUUUUUAAGUAAAAAAGCUUAAAUAAUUUUAAAAGACGAGAAGACCCUAUAGAGCUUUAUAUUUAUUUAAAUAAAAUAAAUUAAGAAUUAUUGAAAUUUUAUUUAAAUAAUUAUUUUAUUGGGGUAAUAGGAAGAUUUAAUGAAUUCUUUUUUUUUAUUUUCAUUAAUAUAUGGUUUAAAAAUUAAUGAUCCAAUUUUAUUGAUUAUAAGAUUAAGUUACCUUAGGGAUAACAGCGUAAUUUUUUUGGAGAGUUCUUAUCGAUAAAAAAGUUUGCGACCUCGAUGUUGGAUUAAAGAUUAUUUUAGAUGUAGCAGUUUAAAAUUUUGGUCUGUUCGACCAUUAAAUCUUUACAUGAUCUGAGUUCAGACCGGUGUAAGCCAGGUCGGUUUCUAUCUUUAAAUUGAGGUAAAUAUUUUAGUACGAAAGGACCAGAUAUUUGAUAUAUUAAUAUUUAUUUUUUGAAUAUUAUUAAAAUUG
RNAcentral lists this ribosomal RNA (1335 nucleotides) under Metrius contractus. RNAcentral's name for it is "16S ribosomal RNA". The stretch from base 1084 to 1242 matches the Rfam family "Archaeal large subunit ribosomal RNA", at positions 2542 to 2701 of the family's 2987-position model. The record is from RNAcentral. Lineage: Eukaryota; Metazoa; Arthropoda; Insecta; Coleoptera; Carabidae.